This 119-nucleotide transfer RNA is filed under the name Neotoma lepida (desert woodrat). It matches the Rfam family "tRNA". From Rfam's summary of the family: Transfer RNA (tRNA) molecules are approximately 80 nucleotides in length. Their secondary structure includes four short double-helical elements and three loops (D, anti-codon, and T loops). Lineage: Eukaryota; Metazoa; Chordata; Mammalia; Rodentia; Cricetidae. The record is from Rfam by way of RNAcentral.
UGGGGUGUGGCUCAGUGGUAGAGCACCUGCCUAGAAUCCCCCAGUGAGGGGCUGAGAAUGUGCCUCAGUAGUAGAGCCCUUGUCUAGCAAGGCCUUGGGUUUGAUUCCCAGCAGCACAA